This 497-nucleotide ribosomal RNA is filed under the name uncultured bacterium. Its description in RNAcentral is "partial 16S ribosomal RNA". It matches the Rfam family "Bacterial small subunit ribosomal RNA", at positions 28 to 507 of the family's 1533-position model. The record is from RNAcentral.
GAUGAACGCUGGCGGCGUGCCUAAUACAUGCAAGUCGAGCGAACAGACGAGGAGCUUGCUCCUCUGACGUUAGCGGCGGACGGGUGAGUAACACGUGGAUAACCUACCUAUAAGACUGGGAUAACUUCGGGAAACCGGAGCUAAUACCGGAUAAUAUAUUGAACCGCAUGGUUCAAUAGUGAAAGACGGUUUUGCUGUCACUUAUAGAUGGAUCCGCGCCGCAUUAGCUAGUUGGUAAGGUAACGGCUUACCAAGGCAACGAUGCGUAGCCGACCUGAGAGGGUGAUCGGACACACUGGAACUGAGACACGGUCCAGACUCCUACGGGAGGCAGCAGUAGGGAAUCUUCCGCAAUGGGCGAAAGCGUGACGGAGCAACGCCGCGUGAGUGAUGAAGGACUUCGGAUCGUAAAACUCUGUUAUUAGGGAAGAACAAAUGUGUAAGUAACUAUGCACGUCUUGACGGUACCUAAUCAGAAAGCCACGGCUAACUACGUG